UGGCGAGUGCGGCUAGUAGCCACUGUGUUGUCUCCUCAGGUCUGGUCCCAUUUGCCCUACGACAGGGAGGCCACCCGGGCCCGGCCAGCCAAAGCAAUGCUGGACCUGGAGGUGGUGCCUGAACGCUCUCUGGGGAACGAGCAAUGGGCAUUUCACGCUGGUCUCCUCUAAGCCAUGCCCUCAUCCUUAACCUGACUCAGGAUGGGAUCAAACUGCUGUUUGAUGCUUUCAAUCAGAGACUUAAGGUGACUGAAGUAUAUGACUUGACUAAAGUAAAGUUAAAAUAUUGUGGAGUGCACUUCAACUCUCAGGCCAUAGCUCCUACCACUGAACAGAUUGACCAGUCUUCUGGCACAAUUCAUCCUGGAGUGUACAACUCUGCCGAGCAGCUAUUUCACCUCAACUUCAGAGGACUGUCUUUCUCCUUUCAGUUAGACUCAUGGACUGAAGCUCCCAAGUAUGAGCCCAAUUUUGCGCAUGGUCUAGCUUCUCUCCAGAUACCCCAUGGAGCAACUGUAAAACGAAUGUACAUCUAUAGCGGAAACAGCCUACAAGAUACCAAGGCUCCCAUGAUGCCACUGAGCUGUUUCAUGGGCAAAGUGUAUGCUGAGAGUGUAGAUGUUCUUCGUGAUGGAACUGGACCCUCAGGUUUAUGACUUCGCCUACUUGCUGCAGGUUGCGGACCUGGCCUAUUAGCAGAUGCCAAGAUGCGGGUAUUUGAACGUUCUGUAUAUUUUGGAGAUUCCUGCCAAGAUGUUCUUAGCAUACCUGGCUCUCCACAUAAGGUCUUCUAUAAGUCAGAAGACAAGAUGAAAAUUCAUUCUCCUUCCCCUCAUAAACAAGUUCCUUCCAAGUACAAUGACUACUUUUUUAAUUACUUCACUCUUGGAGUGGAUAUCCUUUUUGAUGCAAAUACACACAAAGUGAAGAAGUUUGUUCUACAUACCAAUUAUCCUGGGCAUUAUAAUUUUAACAUUUAUCACCGCUGUGAGUUCAAGAUCCCACUAACCAUAAAGAAAGAAAAUGAAGAUGGUCAGACAGAAACAUGUACAACUUAUAGCAAGUGGGACAAUAUCCAUGAGCUCUUGGGCCAUCCUGUGGAGAAGCCUGUUAUUCUGCACAGGUCCUCAUCCCCAAACAACACUAACCCAUUUGGCUCCACAUUCUGUUUUGGUCUUCAGCAGAUGAUCUUUGAGAUCAUGCAGAACAACCACAUUGCCUCUGUAACCCUGUAUGCCCCACCCCAGGCAUGGUGCCCAGCUGAGAACAGCAGAGCUCCCCUAGGGACAUCACCACCUGUGCUCCUCUGCCCAUGGAACUGUGGGUGACAUCCUGCUCAGUGGGUCUGUGUGCCACCCUGUGGGUUUGCUUGGACAUCUUGUCAGUAUUGAAGGGCUUUUGGAAUGUUCAGAGGUAGGCUCAGGCUGGGCGCUCUGCUGUGGGACAAGGGGCCCAGGUAUUCCUCUGUCGGUCCUAAGCCUGCUGCUGCCAGCAGGGAACACAGACUGCAAAGAGAAGCACAAACUUUGAGCCUUGAUACCUAGACCCAGGAGAUCUGGACUAACACAGAAGAAGGCAGGACAUGUCAACCCUUGUCCUACACACAUUGGGAAAACUUGGGGCCCUUUCUGUGGCUAAUACAGGAAUCCAGGAUAAGGACAGAGUCCUGCCUUUGGCUGCACAUUGCCACGUGACCGUUGAGGCAAACAGGUAGUGUGUUCAUAGUACUCGGUUGCAACAUUUGCACUACAUCUACUUUAGUUACUUGAGCUGGCUAUGGUGAAAGUGGCCCACCUGCCCCUCCCUGUCCCCUUUGUGCGUGCUCCCUGCCAGGCCCAAGACACACCCACCUGGUGAAGCACAGCUUUCUACCAUCCAGGUAUGUGCCCAGGCCUGGUUUCCACUGCUCUGGAGCCAGCUUUCAAGGUUGCCUUGCUGGUAGGGCUUUAUGUUUCCAUUCUGUUUGUAGCUUUAUUUAAUGCCAAAGUUUUAGCCAAAGACAUCUUUCUUUGUUGUAUUUCAGCAUUUUGUUCUGCACUGUGGGUCAGCUCCCUACCCUAGCCCUAGCCACUGCCCCCUGGCUAGACCUUUCAUGGCUCAUGGGCUCUGGGGGUUCAAGGAACGCUGGGCUGCUUGAUCUCUUCAUAGGUUUUGCUAAUGGAAAGUAGCAUAAAUGUGCUUUAAAAUAUUAAUCCUUUUGAAAAGAAAUGAGAAGAGAA
RNA transcript from Octodon degus (degu), 2219 nucleotides. It is a transcript of the gene named UPF0183 protein C16orf70 pseudogene, with no coding region annotated. NCBI's taxonomy places the organism in Eukaryota, Metazoa, Chordata, Mammalia, Rodentia, Octodontidae. The record is from RefSeq and is a predicted model, not a curated record. The transcript has a single exon.